AUUGAACGCUGGCGGCAGGCUUAACACAUGCAAGUCGAGCGGGGGAAGGUAGCUUGCUACUGGACCUAGCGGCGGACGGGUGAGUAAUGCUUAGGAAUCUGCCUAUUAGUGGGGGACAACAUCUCGAAAGGGAUGCUAAUACCGCAUACGUCCUACGGGAGAAAGCAGGGGAUCUUCGGACCUUGCGCUAAUAGAUGAGCCUAAGUCGGAUUAGCUAGUUGGUGGGGUAAAGGCCUACCAAGGCGACGAUCUGUAGCGGGUCUGAGAGGAUGAUCCGCCACACUGGGCCUGAGACACGGCCCAGACUUCUACGGGAGGCAGCAGUGGGGAAUAUUGGACAAUGGGGGGAACCCUGAUCCAGCCAUGCCGCGUGUGUGAAGAAGGCCUAUGGUUGUAAAGCACUUUAAGCGAGGAGGAGGCUACUUUAGUUAAUACCUAGAGAUAGUGGACGUUACUCGCAGAAUAAGCACCGGCUAACUCUGUGCCAGCAGCCGCCGUAA
Molecule: ribosomal RNA, 500 nt
Filed under: uncultured bacterium
Lineage: Bacteria
Description: partial 16S ribosomal RNA
Rfam family: Bacterial small subunit ribosomal RNA
Source: RNAcentral